Heterocephalus glaber (naked mole-rat) is the source of this 527-nucleotide long non-coding RNA. The record is from Ensembl. Lineage: Eukaryota; Metazoa; Chordata; Mammalia; Rodentia; Bathyergidae.
CAUCUCUCCCUCAGGUCUUGGUGUGGAGUCACCUUCUCUGAUCCUGGCAGGCGUCCCUGUUACACACUCAUUUGGCCCCAACACCGGGCACCUCUCAGUCUGCAUUGUGGCCAAGAGAGUUACAGUCUGCCUAGGUCCUGACUGGCUCCUGAUUAUCACUCAACUUUAAAUGAGAUAAGACUCAAAGAUAAUCAAUGCACAAGGUAGAGUGGGAGUUAAGAGUGCAGACCCUGGAAAAGAUCUGAAAAGACACCUUGCUAAGGAAAACAUACAAGAAGCCAGUAAACAUCAGCAAAAACGGUGCAUGGAUAAUUGGAGUACCUCUUCACAAUGGAUUCUACCCAGGUAAAAAAAGCAAAGAACGACUCUUGAUACAGCACACAGGUGAGUCUCAUAAACACUAUGCUCAGGAAGGAAGCCAGACACUGCUUAGGAAUAACUCCACUAGCCCUUUAAGCCCAGCUGAGCUGGGUCUUUGGUUACAGUUAGCUGACAGCAUCUCAGGACAGGAGGGCACUGCAUUUGGG